GAGGGUAUAGCUCAGUAUAGAGUGCCUGCUGCUUAGCAUGCAUGAGGUCCUGGGUUCAAUCCCCGGUACCUCCA
Molecule: transfer RNA, 74 nt
Filed under: Camelus bactrianus (Bactrian camel)
Lineage: Eukaryota; Metazoa; Chordata; Mammalia; Artiodactyla; Camelidae
Also listed under: 2 other names
Rfam family: tRNA
About the family: Transfer RNA (tRNA) molecules are approximately 80 nucleotides in length. Their secondary structure includes four short double-helical elements and three loops (D, anti-codon, and T loops).
Source: Rfam by way of RNAcentral